This is a long non-coding RNA of Asparagus officinalis (garden asparagus), 398 nucleotides long. RefSeq lists it as uncharacterized. The record is from RefSeq and is a predicted model, not a curated record. Lineage: Eukaryota; Viridiplantae; Streptophyta; Magnoliopsida; Asparagales; Asparagaceae. The transcript has 2 exons.
AAUUCUUCCCAAUUAAAACACAUAUUAACAUUCUAAAUCACAAACAAGAAAACAGCACCAGCACGAACAACAAGGCUAAAAAAAACCUAAAAAAUCCCAUCUUUUUUUUUCUUGACAGCAAGACUUUUGGGAUGAGCGGAACAAAGAAACCCUAACCCUAACCGCCGAACCCAUAAAGAGUCCUGCCCUGCCUCUUGAGCGCGUACACCACAUCCAUCGCCGUCACCGUCUUCCUCCUCGCGUGCUCGGUGUAGGUCACCGCAUCCCUGAUCACGUUCUCGAGGAAUAUUUUCAGGACCCCCCUCGUCUCCUCGUAGAUCAGCCCGCUGAUCCUCUUCACCCCGCCCCUCCUCGCGAGGCGGCGGAUCGCCGGCUUCGUGAUGCCCUGGAUGUUGUCG